UCGGACGCAAUAAAUUAUUAAACGUGUUAUUUUCCAUUUUUUAAGCGUACACGUAACGAAAUAAACUACAGUUUAGUGUUUUCGUUUGUAUGACGUCUUGGGUUUUUUUCAUGAUGCUUAUGCGGCAAAGUCCUUCAUAAAUCUUCAUAGAUUUGUUGGAAAUUUACAAAUGGUCUGGGCACUGAUGUUUCAUCUGAGUGUAACAGAUGGAUAAAAUAAACGAAUAUCACGGCCCAUGAGGCCUUAUGUAAAUUUUCAACAAAUACGUGACUUCCUUGAAUUCUAAAAGAACAAAUCCAUACUGAAUCAUUAAUGAACUGAAAGGACGGUGCGUAUUUCGUGUUAGUGGCUGUUCUAUUUUUUCUACCUGCUAGAUAAAGCUUAGACAAUCUAAUAAAUCAGUACCUUGCAUGAAUCAUUUCUUAAAUAACCUUAGUAAAAAAUGUUUAAUUCUUUAAAUUCUCAAACCCAACAUUUUCCAUUUCUCAUUUACAAUUUUUCUCGUUAGCUACCGUCAGAUCCGCGUUUGUAUAAAUAACUCUAAAAACACUAUAGUGUAGAAUUUUCUUUAAAAAGAAAUUAAGUCCUGUAAAUGUUCUAAUGUUUAAGUCAACCAUAACCAAUGUUCAUUUUAUUUCUAUCGUUUAACCAGCGUACAGAAAAACAUUUGUAUGUAAGUUAAUUUGAUUAGAAAAGUAUAAGUAACUGUUUACACAUUAUAGUUAAUAAUUUUCUUCAGCAAGAAUUAAAGUCCCAUAAUGGUUUUAAUGUUGCAGUAAUCCAUUAUCAAUGGUUAACAUACGUUUAAGCAAACCAGUUAAAAGCAGACUUUAUAAUCAGAACUAUAGGACUAAACGAAUAGGCGAUUAUUUUAAUUAUCGAUAUCUUUGUAUCUUUAUAUAUAAUACGAAUGUCUAUGAUAUAUAAAACCAAAUUAUAUAGUAUAUCUGUACAAAGUAUCACAGUAACUGUUAUAGUAAUGUCGGUAAUUUUCCAGUCCAUUAAAAGAAGACUGUACACUAUUAUGUAAAGAUCAAAAAGCAUAUCUAACAAUUUAUAAUUAGCGUGGAAUGUAUAUGUUGUCAAGAUGUCCUUCCACACUUCUAAACCAACACAAAACGAAGUUGUAUACAUCCAUACAAGGUGAAUAAUCAAAAGAGUAAACAAUACAACGGCAGAACUUGUAUUAACAAAAUGUGUUCUGUUGAGAACGCAGAUGACAAUCAGUGUUGCUAUGUUGAAAAUACAUCCUAAAGUUACACGAAUGAAAUAUAUUUUAGUUUUCCAAUAUUCAUGUUGUACGUCUCCUUUUUGAAAUUUCAGCAGUACUGAAUAUGUUAAAUCUAAAUAAAACUGGAAAUUCAUAUCAAAGAAAUUUCUUUUGCCACUGUCUUCAAACCAAACAUAUAUUGAUCAUAUGUAAAAUACUGCGUAAAUUAUAUUACACUUUAUGUGACCUUCCUACAAAUGAUCGUCUUCCUAUUGCGUGACGGUUAAAUACAUGUUCAGGAUGUAGAAAAACAAAAUUUGUACACUAAGGA
RNAcentral lists this long non-coding RNA (1541 nucleotides) under Mytilus galloprovincialis (Mediterranean mussel). Lineage: Eukaryota; Metazoa; Mollusca; Bivalvia; Mytilida; Mytilidae. The record is from RNAcentral.